GAUGAAGAACGCAGCGAAAUGCGAUAAGUAAUGUGAAUUGCAGAAUUCCGUGAAUCAUCGAGUCUUUGAACGCACAUUGCGCCCCCUGGUAUUCCGGGGGGCAUGCCUGUCCGAGCGUCAUUGCUGCCCUCAAGCACGGCUUGUGUGUUGGGCCUCCGCCCCCCGGCUCCCGGGGGGCGGGCCCGAAAGGCAGCGGCGGCACCGCGUCCGGUCCUCGAGCGUAUGGGGCUUCGUCACCCGCUCCGUAGGCCCGGCCGGCGCCCGCCGGCGACCCCCCUCAAUCUUUCCAGGUUGACCUCGGAUCAGGUAGGGAUACCCGCUGAACUUAAGCAUAUCAAUAAGCGGAGGA
This 349-nucleotide unclassified non-coding RNA is filed under the name soil metagenome. RNAcentral describes it as "partial contains 5.8S ribosomal RNA, internal transcribed spacer 2, and large subunit ribosomal RNA". The stretch from base 1 to 120 matches the Rfam family "5.8S ribosomal RNA", at positions 35 to 154 of the family's 154-position model. The record is from RNAcentral.